This 301-nucleotide ribosomal RNA is filed under the name uncultured bacterium. Its description in RNAcentral is "partial 16S ribosomal RNA". It matches the Rfam family "Bacterial small subunit ribosomal RNA", at positions 509 to 808 of the family's 1533-position model. The record is from RNAcentral.
CAGCAGCCGCGGGAAUACGUAGGUCCCGAGCGUUGUCCGGAUUUAUUGGGCGUAAAGCGAGCGCAGGCGGUUAGAUAAGUCUGAAGUUAAAGGCUGUGGCUUAACCAUAGUACGCUUUGGAAACUGUUUAACUUGAGUGCAGAAGGGGAGAGUGGAAUUCCAUGUGUAGCGGUGAAAUGCGUAGAUAUAUGGAGGAACACCGGUGGCGAAAGCGGCUCUCUGGUCUGUAACUGACGCUGAGGCUCGAAAGCGUGGGGAGCAAACAGGAUUAGAUACCCGCGUAGUCCCUGUCUCUUAUACA